AUUGAACGCUGGCGGCAUGCCUUACACAUGCAAGUCGAACGGCAGCACGGGAGCAAUCCUGGUGGCGAGUGGCGAACGGGUGAGUAAUAUAUCGGAACGUGCCCAGUCGUGGGGAUAACGUAGCGAAAGCUACGCUAAUACCGCAUACGAUCUAUGGAUGAAAGCGGGGGAUCGCAAGACCUCGCGCGAUUGGAGCGGCCGAUAUCAGAUUAGGUAGUUGGUGAGGUAAAGGCUCACCAAGCCGACGAUCUGUAGCUGGUCUGAGAGGACGACCAGCCACACUGGGACUGAGACACGGCCCAGACUCCUACGGGAGGCAGCAGUGGGGAAUUUUGGACAAUGGGCGCAAGCCUGAUCCAGCAAUGCCGCGUGCAGGAUGAAGGCCUCGGUUGUAACG
This 397-nucleotide ribosomal RNA is filed under the name uncultured bacterium. RNAcentral's name for it is "bacterial SSU rRNA". It matches the Rfam family "Bacterial small subunit ribosomal RNA", at positions 30 to 430 of the family's 1533-position model. The record is from RNAcentral.